Molecule: long non-coding RNA, 1226 nt
Organism: Pantherophis guttatus
Lineage: Eukaryota; Metazoa; Chordata; Lepidosauria; Squamata; Colubridae
Source: RefSeq, a predicted model, not a curated record
CACCUGACUGAUUUAAAAAUAUUAAUUCAUAAAAUAAAUCAGAGCACACAUUAUUUCAAUAGAUCCCUGAUUUUAGCCAAAGAUCUGUUAGUUUUCUGCAUAGUUAAAUAGUUUAAUUAUUUAUAUUUUGUUUUCUGAAGUCACUCCAUCAGCACCAGACUUUAUUCUUACAGGUAAUUUAUUGUAUUUGAUAAUACUUCAAGACUUCAGUUAAAUAUUUAAAAUAGAAAAACUUAACUGUGUCAUUUCUAUACUGAAUAGAGCUUGUAAAUCAUUUAUAAGUCCUUUCAAAAUGAUAACAUGUGACACAAGUGCAUGUCAUUAAUUUAUUGGAUUUUAUGAAGUUCUAAAUUGAUAUAUACAAAUUUGUAGACUUGAAGCAGGAUUUAUUAGCCUAUUUCACAUUAAAAGUGUUUCUAUUUUUGUUGAUCUUGCCCUUGAAAUUACAAAUAUUAAUUCAACCAAAGAUGCAGCAAUCAAGAAUGUGGGUUUUUGUUUUUUUAAUUGCUGUGUGUCAUCCAAAAGAGACAAUGUUUAUCGCCUGUUCUAUUUUCAAUGUCAAUUUCUUUUUCUAUAAGAAAAAGUUUGAUUUUUUUAAAAAAAUAAUUGUCAAAACAAUGCUAUAUUUGCUAUACUUUUUAAUAAAACUGAGCCUCAAACCUGGCCCUGUAGAGGCACUGUAGAGGCCCUGAACUGACUGUGUAAUAUAGCCCUUGUUAUUUCAUCAUUAUGGAACUAACUACAGAGCUGUUAACAGCACAACUAUAAUACAAACAGAUAAACCAGACAUCUUCAAAUAUAUGGAUAAUUUUGGAAGAUAUUUUGGACAAAAGUCUUCAAGCCGUCAUAAUAUUGUCUAAUGGAAGAUAUCAAUAAAUAUUUCUGAAGCUAAAAAGUUUAAUAUGGAAUUUCUGAAAAAUAUUUGUAAAAAUAAUUGAGGGUGAUUUUCCAGUCCUGGUGAAAAAAAAGCAUUGCAGGAAAUGAACAAUGGAAUCAUAGGCACUCAAGAGGAUCACAGUUCUAUGGCUACUGUACGUAGCGGUACUUUGCUGAGCAAAAACUCUUGAACUGCUUGACAAAAAAGGAAUUCCAUGGUACAUUGUGGUCUAACUGCUGCUGUGCUGUAAAAUUCACUAGGAAUCAUUUUUCACUAUAAUUCAUUUUUCUUCAGUUGUUAACCAUUCCGUGGUCUUCUGAUGGAAGUUAUAAAAUAAAUGCUUUUAGGA